RNAcentral lists this unclassified non-coding RNA (218 nucleotides) under Hevea brasiliensis (rubber tree). Lineage: Eukaryota; Viridiplantae; Streptophyta; Magnoliopsida; Malpighiales; Euphorbiaceae. The record is from RNAcentral.
ACUGACAUACAGCAAUUCUCUUCUUUACCUCUCUCCCACUCUAUCUCCCUCUUUCUCUACUACGGUACACCACUCUGUUCAGCCCAAAAUAGCUAUUUAAAGAGAAGCUUCAAGAAACAGAGAAAUCUUUCUUUCCUUCGCUUUCUGUGCGUUUUUUCAGUAUAAACUAGGGUUUAAACAGCGAAAAAUGUGUGAAUAUUCAUGAAAAUAAAGAAGAA